This 637-nucleotide ribosomal RNA is filed under the name uncultured bacterium. RNAcentral's name for it is "bacterial SSU rRNA". The stretch from base 1 to 535 matches the Rfam family "Bacterial small subunit ribosomal RNA", at positions 338 to 873 of the family's 1533-position model. The record is from RNAcentral.
CCUACGGGAGGCAGCAGUAGGGAAUUUUCCGCAAUGGGCGAAAGCCUGACGGAGCAAUACCGCGUGAGGGAUGACGGCCUGUGGGUUGUAAACCUCUUUUCUCAAGGAAGAAGUUCUGACGGUACUUGAGGAAUAAGCAUCGGCUAACUCUGUGCCAGCAGCCGCGGUAAUACAGAGGAUGCAAGCGUUAUCCGGAAUCACUGGGCAUAAAGCGUCUGUAGGUUGUUUAGUAAGUCUGCUGUUAAAGACUGGGGCUUAACCCCAGAAAAGCAGUGGAAACUGCUAGACUCGAGUGUGGUAGAGGUAGAGGGAAUUCCUAGUGUAGCGGUGAAAUGCGUAGAUAUUAGGAAGAACACCAAUGGCGAAGGCACUCUACUGGGCCAUAACUGACACUGAGAGACGACAGCUAGGGGAGCAAACGGGAUUAGAUACCCCGGUAGUCCUAGCCGUAAACGAUGGAUACUAGAUAGUUGUCACGUACUUAACCCGUUACGUCAGUAUACGUAGUCGUAAGGUACGUUAAGUAAGUACCGUCCCGUCGGGUAAGGUACGCGUCGCGAAGAGUAGAAACGUAACGUAAAGGUAAAGUUAGUUACGGCGUGAGAGUAGCCGACGGACGACGACGAGGGAGGUUAGG